RNAcentral lists this ribosomal RNA (1447 nucleotides) under uncultured organism. RNAcentral describes it as "SSU rRNA". It matches the Rfam family "Bacterial small subunit ribosomal RNA". The record is from RNAcentral.
GAACGCUAGCUACAGGCUUAACACAUGCAAGUCGAGGGGCAGCAUGGUCUUAGCUUGCUAAGGCCGAUGGCGACCGGCGCACGGGUGAGUAACGCGUAUCCAACCUGCCUUACACUCUUGGACAGCCUUCUGAAAGGGAGAUUAAUACAAGAUGUUAUCAUGAGUAAGCAUUUUCGCAUGAUUAAAGGUUUACCGGUGUAAGAUGGGGAUGCGUUCCAUUAGAUAGUAGGCGGGGUAACGGCCCACCUAGUCUUCGAUGGAUAGGGGUUCUGAGAGGAAGGUCCCCCACAUUGGAACUGAGACACGGUCCAAACUCCUACGGGAGGCAGCAGUGAGGAAUAUUGGUCAAUGGACGAGAGUCUGAACCAGCCAAGUAGCGUGAAGGAUGAAGGUUCUAUGGAUUGUAAACUUCUUUUAUACGGGAAUAAACGGAUCCACGUGUGGAUUUUUGCAUGUACCGUAUGAAUAAGGAUCGGCUAACUCCGUGCCAGCAGCCGCGGUAAUACGGAGGAUCCGAGCGUUAUCCGGAUUUAUUGGGUUUAAAGGGAGCGUAGAUGGGUUGUUAAGUCAGUUGUGAAAGUUUGCGGCUCAACCGUAAAAUUGCAAUUGAUACUGGCAGUCUUGAGUACAGUUGAGGUAGGCGGAAUUCGUGGUGUAGCGGUGAAAUGCUUAGAUAUCACGAAGAACUCCGAUUGCGAAGGCAGCUUACUAACCUGUAACUGACAUUGAUGCUCGAAAGUGUGGGUAUCAAACAGGAUUAGAUACCCUGGUAGUCCACACGGUAAACGAUGAAUACUCGCUGUAGGCGAUAUACAGUCUGCGGCCAAGCGAAAGCAUUAAGUAUUCCACCUGGGGAGUACGCCGGCAACGGUGAAACUCAAAGGAAUUGACGGGGGCCCGCACAAGCGGAGGAACAUGUGGUUUAAUUCGAUGAUACGCGAGGAACCUUACCCGGGCUUAAAUUGCAACCGAAUAUGGCGGAAACGCUAUAGCUAGCAAUAGCGGUUGUGAAGGUGCUGCAUGGUUGUCGUCAGCUCGUGCCGUGAGGUGUCGGCUUAAGUGCCAUAACGAGCGCAACCCUUGCCGAUAGUUACUAACAGGUUAUGCUGAGGACUCUGUCGGGACUGCCAUCGUAAGAUGUGAGGAAGGUGGGGAUGACGUCAAAUCAGCACGGCCCUUACGUCCGGGGCUACACACGUGUUACAAUGGGGGGUACAGAGGGCUGCUACCACGCAAGUGGAUGCCAAUCCCAAAAACCUCUCUCAGUUCGGAUUGAAGUCUGCAACCCGACUUCAUGAAGCUGGAUUCGCUAGUAAUCGCGCAUCAGCCACGGCGCGGUGAAUACGUUCCCGGGCCUUGUACACACCGCCCGUCAAGCCAUGGGAGCCGGGGGUACCUGAAGUGCGUAACCGCAAGGAGCGCCCUAGGGUAAAACUGGUGACUGGGG